RNAcentral lists this unclassified non-coding RNA (204 nucleotides) under Hevea brasiliensis (rubber tree). The record is from RNAcentral. Lineage: Eukaryota; Viridiplantae; Streptophyta; Magnoliopsida; Malpighiales; Euphorbiaceae.
GUGGUGGUACUCGCCGUCGAAGGCCGGCUCGUUGCGGCGGUCGGAGGGGGAGGACCAGAUGGAGUCGCCGAGGGAGAGGCCGGAGAAGCUCGCCGUCUGCAGCCGCAGCUGGUCGCUGAACUGGUAGAACUCGCGGUCGUAUCCCUCCAUGGCCGCUGCUGCUUUUUUUCUCUUGUUUUCUCGUGUGCUCGUGCUGCUUGGCUA